UCGAGAAUCUUCCGCAAUGGACGAAAGUCUGACGGAGCGACGCCGCGUGAUUGAUGAAGCCUUUCGGGGUGUAAAAAUCUUUUAUGAGGGAUGACAUAGCGACAGUACCUCAUGAAUAAGGGGCUGCUAAUCUCGUGCCAGCAGCAGCGGUAAUACGAGAGCCCCAAGCGUUAUCCGGAAUUACUGGGCGUAAAGAGUUUGUAGGCGGCGUAGUUAGUCUUCUGUUAAAUCCAUCGGCUCAACCGGUGAACCACAGAGGAAACGGCUAUGCUUGAGUGUGUGAGAGGUGAAUGGAACUCAUAGUGUAGGGGUGAAAUCCGUUGAUAUUAUGGGGAACACCAAAAGCGAAGGCAGUUCACUGGCACAUUACUGACGCUGAGAAACGAAAGCGUGGGUAGCG
This 400-nucleotide ribosomal RNA is filed under the name uncultured bacterium. RNAcentral describes it as "bacterial SSU rRNA". It matches the Rfam family "Bacterial small subunit ribosomal RNA", at positions 355 to 770 of the family's 1533-position model. The record is from RNAcentral.